This 30-nucleotide non-coding RNA is filed under the name Homo sapiens (human). The record is from RNAcentral. Lineage: Eukaryota; Metazoa; Chordata; Mammalia; Primates; Hominidae.
UGACUCGGUUUGUGCCCAGAUCCCGGCGGC